AUGGAUAACAAAUGUUAUAAUUGUAAUAGUAUUAUAUUAUUACCUUCCGUGUUCUUCUUCUUCAGUUCCAUAAACUCGAACAGUUCUAAUAAGAGAGAAUGUCUCUUGAGCUACCUAUGAUUUAAUAUUGAGAAAAUUGUUAUUAUCAUGACAAUUGGGAAAAAAAUAAAACAAAUUAUUAUAGUAUAAGGCAUCUUAUUCUACAUUAUUAGCAGAAGCAGUGACUUCUUGGAUCAACCUUGCUGCCUUCUUCUGAAGUACCAUCCAUAACGUAACAUGACCGCUGCUAAUAUGGAGCAUAUCACC
Molecule: long non-coding RNA, 306 nt
Filed under: Medicago truncatula (barrel medic)
Lineage: Eukaryota; Viridiplantae; Streptophyta; Magnoliopsida; Fabales; Fabaceae
Description: lncRNA gene30092
Source: RNAcentral